This 580-nucleotide small RNA is filed under the name Histoplasma capsulatum var. duboisii H88. RNAcentral's name for it is "Histoplasma capsulatum H88 hypothetical RNA". Lineage: Eukaryota; Fungi; Ascomycota; Eurotiomycetes; Onygenales; Ajellomycetaceae. The record is from RNAcentral.
CUUUCUUGAGCUCAACAUGCAAUCGCCAGGAACGUCCCGCUGCUACUUUCUCACCCCAUUAUUACGCCCGUUGCUCGGAAGCAUGACAAACAUCUGCCCAGGUCGUCCUCCGUUGGGCCACACAACGAGGUAUCGCUAUCAUCCCUAAGAGCAACUCUAAAACCCGUCUCCUUGGGAAUCUAGGCGUCAAUGAUUUCGGCCUUGAGCAAAACGAAAUCGACGGAAUCAGUGCCUUCAACAGGAAUCUUAGGUUCCACAAUCCCCUAAACGUAUCCCCGCGCAGUCGAGGUUGAUUGGUCUAGAGUGAUCGUUACGGAUCCUUACCCUUCCACCUUUGCAGUAACUACGGGAUCCCAUUGCCAAUCUUUGCUUAAAUGGCUAUACCUAUAGAGGUUCUCAAUGUGACCGUUUUUCACCCUCCAUAAUGAGUAGUAUGACCUCGAAAGCAGCCACAUAAUUUUAUCCAAACAGAUAUAUAUAUCUAUUAAGAUAAUUCGUUCAUCCAUCCUCAUCCUCGCCAGCAUCAACAUUAAAUUUCUUACGUCGAGACCCUGCACCUGCAAGAUUUUUCAGAUUCACC